RNAcentral lists this ribosomal RNA (538 nucleotides) under uncultured bacterium. RNAcentral describes it as "bacterial SSU rRNA". It matches the Rfam family "Bacterial small subunit ribosomal RNA", at positions 777 to 1318 of the family's 1533-position model. The record is from RNAcentral.
AAUAGAUACCCCAGGUAGUCCACGCCGUAAACGAUGGAUACUAGGUGUUCGGGAAAUUAACCUCCUGAGUACUAAAGCUAACGCAUUAAGUAUCCCGCCUGGGGAGUACGGUCGCAAGGCUAAAACUCAAAGGAAUUGACGGGGGCCCGCACAAGCGGUGGAGUAUGUGGUUUAAUUCGAAGCAACGCGCAGAACCUUACCUACCCUUAACAUCCCAAGACAUCCACAGAGAUGUGGCUUUCCCUUCGGGGACUUGGAGAUAGGUGCUGCAUGGCUGUCGUCAGCUCGUGUCGUAAGAUGUCCGGUUAAGUCCGAUAACGAGCGCAACCCUUGUCCUUAGUUACCAUCAUUAAGUUGGGGACUCAUGCGAGACUGCCGGUGACAAACCGGAGGAAGCGGGGAUGACGUCAAGUCAUCAUGCCCCUUAUGUCCAGGGCUACACACGUGCUACAUUGGCGCAUACAAACGGCUGCGAUACCGCGAGGUGAGCGAAUCCGAAAAAGUGCGUCUCGGUUCGGAUUGGAGCUGAAACUCGCUC